UCCCGCCUCUUCCCGACCAAACCUUCCCUCCUUUAUUUUGGUCUCUCUUCUUCCCCGCUCAGCAUCUAAAAUCUCCCCCUUUUCUCUCUUUUCCCUCUUUCAUUGUUGUUUCCCGUUUUCCCUGACUAAGGUUUAGUUUUUGUUCUCAAGUUAAACUAGAAGCCAUGGCUACCGGCUCUUUGAGUUCAACUAUUUGAUGGUGAAUUUGUAUAAUGGGGUCAGUGAUGAUAGAUCUAAAGAAUUGAAAUGGAGUAGGAUUGAGUCUUUGGAAAGAAGCAUUUCACCUGUGGCAAAAUCUUUGGUUAAAUUCAACUAUGGCGAAAUUGUUUCAGCUACUAGAAAAUUUUCCGAAGAAAAUGGUGUAGACAAAGUUUUGGGGAGAAGAGCAUCGAGCUUUGUUUUCAGAGGCAGAGUUGGACUGUUGAAGACAACUGUGGCUAUUAAGAGGUUGGAUAAAGAAGAUAAGAAAUCUGCUAAGGCCUUUUGCAGAGAAGUGAUGAUUGCUAGCUCUUUGCAUCACCCUAAUAUUGUCCCUCUUUUAGGGUUUUAUAAUUAAUUCGCCAAAAUUAUUUUAGUGAUUUGGAACGAUUUCGUACUAUUUUAACUAAUUCCAUAAUCUUUGUUUACAUUUUAUGUCAGUUCAUUGACUGACUUAUCAAAUUUUCCAAUAGCACCAUUCCAUAGCUUGACUGACUUAUCAAAUGAUGCACUGGCCACCCAUAGCCCAUCAGGUGAGAAAUAAACAUGAUUUACAAGCUGCAAAUAACCAGCAAAACAUACGAACUUACUCCUAUGCAUGAAGAAAUCAACAAUUUGAAUCGCAAUCAGAGUGAGUGAACGGUACUUUUACAUUCUGUUCCAGUAGGGAAAAUGAUAGUUCUUGAUUUAUUCGCUGAUGUCAAACCGAUAUGGGCAAUUUCCUCUCAGUUUUUUGACAAUCUUUUUCUUUAACAUGUAAUUUGAUGUUUGUAUUAUGGAAUUCACGAUAAUUUUGAAAAUAUCUUUAUCAGGUGUUUACUGCAUAAUUUUGUAGGAAAUAUUGAAAUGAAUGGAACACUGGAUGCAAUUUCUUCAAGUCCAGCGGAUGCUCGCAUCAGUAAAAAUUCAACCAUGGUAGGUGUUGGCAUGUGCAUGGAAGGGAUAGAUCAGAAUUCGGGUGUUUAUGAGUUAAUGUCUGAAAUGGCACAUUGAAAGGAAAAAGUUCAAGUUCUGGAUUUAUAGUAGCAACGGAACUGGAUGAUGUGUUGUUCAUAGAGAUAUCAAGCCCUCCAACAUUCUUCUUUCUUCCAAGAAAACACCCAAGGUACUUGGCACCCGAGUAUUCCCAACAUGGAAAAGUGUAUGAUAAAACUGAUGUUUAUGCUUUUGGGGUUGUCUUGUUGGAGCUGAUAACCGGACGGAAACCAAUCGAGGCAAGACGGCCUCCAGGAGAAGAGAACUUGGUCUUGUGGGCAAAACCUCUCUUGCACAGAGGAGUGGCAGCUGUUGAAGAAUAACUUGACCCUAGACUCAAAUGUACGCUGAAAAAUUCAACUAAAAUAGCCCUUUUGUUGUUUGGUGAAAGGCUAUUUGCUUGAUGUAAAGAUUGCUCAGCCUGAAAGAAUUAACAAUAAAUAAGAAACUCAGCUUGUGGGGUUGUUCUGGCUUAGAUGAUGAUAUUUUUGGUAGUAUAGUUAGGUUU
Long non-coding RNA from Hibiscus syriacus, 1681 nucleotides. RefSeq lists it as uncharacterized. The transcript has 6 exons. The record is from RefSeq and is a predicted model, not a curated record. NCBI's taxonomy places the organism in Eukaryota, Viridiplantae, Streptophyta, Magnoliopsida, Malvales, Malvaceae.